RNAcentral lists this long non-coding RNA (1247 nucleotides) under Falco tinnunculus (common kestrel). RNAcentral's name for it is "lncRNA (ENSFTIG00000014785.1)". Lineage: Eukaryota; Metazoa; Chordata; Aves; Falconiformes; Falconidae. The record is from RNAcentral.
GUUUCCAAAACACCCCGAAACCAACAGAGAGAUAUGUAUAUCUCACCACCCAAAAACCCCAAAAACGAAAGAAAAAGGGUGAGAUCCAGCGCGGGGCAGGAGGAGCAGCAGGAGGGCGCUGCCAGCCGGGGGGCCCCGUCCCUCCCACGCUGGGGCUGCUCCCGGCACUUGUGCUUUUGCUUUGCAUGUCGAGGGGUGGGGACCCGCCAGCGGCACCCACGGGCCAGGGCCCCCGUCUCACACCGGAGCAGCUCGCCCAGACGGCAGAGGCUGUGCAGGAGAAAGAGGAAAACCAGAACUGAGGUCCUGCUCCGCGGCACUCCCGAGCCCCCCCCCAGAGGGGUAAGUCAGCAGCUGACACCAGGCUGCCAGGCACAGCCCAGGCCAUCGCUGCCACAGGCUCUACAAGUUCUUACAGCAUAAAAAGCAGGCCAGCCCCAAACGCAGGGUGCCCGGGUCACCCAGGCCAGCAGCAGUCCUUGCAAGAGUGGCGCUUGGUGGUAGGAUCCAGCCAGGCUGAUCUCUUACCUGGUUCUGGGAGGGAGCAGGAGGUGCUGGUCAGCAUCCCAGGUUCCUCCAAGGUCAUCAAGAGGGGACCAGGCACAAUGCUGCAGCAGGGGUAGCACCCAUAAACAUGGGCUACAAUCCCCCCAGCUGGUUUAAGAGUCUCUCCUUCACUGAGCUGGGUUUUAAGAGCUGCUGUGGCCGGAUUUACUAACUAGAGCUUCUGUGGACCUGGGCAGUCAUAACCACCGUCAGGUGAGGACCCUGGUUGCUCCCAGAGGGGUGAUGGGCUCUGAUGUAGGCACGGUCCUCACAGGUGUUGUGGCCGUUAGUGACUGUUCCCACAUCCCCAGCUCCUGCACUUGUUCAUAUGGAACAUACGGAUACACGGCUGCCCUGCAGCAUAUAGAAAAUACUUCACACAAUACAUGCCCUGCUUUAACAAGCGUCAGCGAGCCCUGGUUGUAAAGGCUGUCUACAAAACUCACCUGGGGCUUCUGACUCAUCACGUACAAGCCAGAAUUGUUCACCCAGUGCCCUGACGUGGCUGACCGUGGGGUCUGCUCAGCAAAAUAAGGGUGGAAAAACCAUUCAGGGGCAGAAGGAAGCCGUGCCUGGGGAGAGUCUCGCACCUACCACCGCAGCCAGCCCCCUGCACCGAAGGGAAGCAAACACAGCACACGCAGCAAAAUUUCCUCUUUCUGGAGGUUUUUUUUUAACAUACUGCUGGUUUUUACACAGCA